This 393-nucleotide ribosomal RNA is filed under the name uncultured bacterium. RNAcentral's name for it is "partial 16S ribosomal RNA". It matches the Rfam family "Bacterial small subunit ribosomal RNA", at positions 523 to 918 of the family's 1533-position model. The record is from RNAcentral.
AUACGGAGGAUGCGAGCGUUAUCCGGAUUUAUUGGGUUUAAAGGGUGCGUAGGCGGACUGGUAAGUCAGCUGUGAAAGUUUGCGGCUUAACCGUAAAAUUGCAGUUGAUACUGUCAGUCUUGAGUGUGCAUGAGGAGGGCGGAAUUUGUGGUGUAGCGGUGAAAUGCUUAGAUAUCACGAGGAACUCCAAUUGCGAAGGCAGCUCACUGGGGCAUAACUGACGCUGAUGCACGAAGGUGUGGGUAUCAAACAGGAUUAGAUACCCUGGUAGUCCACACAGUAAACUAUGAAUACUCGCUGUUUGCGAUAUACAGUAAGCGGCCAAGCGAAAGCGAUAAGUUAUCCACCUGGGGAGUACGACCGCAAGGUUGAAACUCAAAGGAAUUGACGGGG